RNAcentral lists this ribosomal RNA (497 nucleotides) under uncultured bacterium. RNAcentral describes it as "partial 16S ribosomal RNA". It matches the Rfam family "Bacterial small subunit ribosomal RNA", at positions 28 to 507 of the family's 1533-position model. The record is from RNAcentral.
GAUGAACGCUGGCGGCGUGCCUAAUACAUGCAAGUCGAGCGAACAGACGAGGAGCUUGCUCCUCUGAUGUUAGCGGCGGACGGGUGAGUAACACGUGGAUAACCUACAUAUAAGACUGGGAUAACUUCGGGAAACCGGAGCUAAUACCGGAUAAUAUAUUGAACCGCAUGGUUCAAUAGUGAAAGACGGUUUUGCUGUCACUUAUAGAUGGAUCCGCGCCGCAUUAGCUAGUUGGUAAGGUAACGGCUUACCAAGGCGACGAUGCGUAGCCGACCUGAGAGGGUGAUCGGCCACACUGGAACUGAGACACGGUCCAGACUCCUACGGGAGGCAGCAGUAGGGAAUCUUCCGCAAUGGGCGAAAGCUUGACGGAGCAACGCCGCGUGAGUGAUGAAGGUCUUCGGAUCGUAAAGCUCUGUUAGUAGGGAAGAACAAAUGUGUAAGUAACUAUGCACGUCUUGACGGUACCUAAUCAGAAAGCCACGGCUAACUACGUG